GACGAACGCUGGCGGCGUGCUUAACACAUGCAAGUCGAACGAUGAAAUUCUGACGGAGACUUCGGUCAACUGAAGGAUGGAUUAGUGGCGGACGGGUGAGUAACGCGUGAGUAACCUGCCUCUCAGAGUGGAAUAACAUUUGGAAACGAAUGGUAAUACCGCAUAAUGUCACGGAACCGCAUGAUUCUGUGACCAAAGGAGCAAUCCGCUGAGAGAUGGACUCGCGUCCGAUUAGCUAGUUGGAGAGGUAACGGCUCCCCAAGGCGACGAUCGGUAGCCGGACUGACGAGGUUGAACGGCCACAUUGGGACUGAGACACGGCCCAGACUCCUACGGGAGGCAGCAGUGGGGAACUAUUGCACAAUGGGGGAAACCCUGAUGCAGCAACGCCGCGUGAA
Molecule: ribosomal RNA, 398 nt
Filed under: uncultured bacterium
Lineage: Bacteria
Description: bacterial SSU rRNA
Rfam family: Bacterial small subunit ribosomal RNA
Source: RNAcentral